This 468-nucleotide ribosomal RNA is filed under the name uncultured bacterium. RNAcentral describes it as "partial 16S ribosomal RNA". It matches the Rfam family "Bacterial small subunit ribosomal RNA", at positions 28 to 507 of the family's 1533-position model. The record is from RNAcentral.
GACGAACGCUGGCGGCGUGCUUAACACAUGCAAGUCGAACGGAAAGGCCCUGCUUUUGUGGGGUGCUCGAGUGGCGAACGGGUGAGUAACACGUGAGUAACCUGCCCUUGACUUUGGGAUAACUUCAGGAAACUGGGGCUAAUACCGGAUAGGAGCUCCUGCUGCAUGGUGGGGGUUGGAAAGUUUCGGCGGUUGGGGAUGGACUCGCGGCUUAUCAGCUUGUUGGGGGGGUAGUGGCUUACCAAGGCUUUGACGGGUAGCCGGCCUGGGCGGGUGACCGGCCACAUUGGGACUGGGAUACGGCCCAGACUCCUACGGGAGGCAGCAGUGGGGAAUAUUGCACAAUGGGCGGAAGCCUGAUGCAGCAACGCCGCGUGCGGGAUGACGGCCUUCGGGUUGUAAACCGCUUUCGCCUGUGACGAAGCGUGAGUGACGGUAAUGGGUAAAGAAGCACCGGCUAACUACGUG